AACGAGAAAUAAUCUUCAACAAAUUUAAAGACAAAACGAAUAAUUUUGAACGUACGAAUGCCGUCUCGAGGUCGCUUAGUCACCGUAACGAGGCAAGGAACGUGGGAACAGCCGUCGCAGUUUCCCUUCAUAUAAUCAUAUUAUUUUCGACUACAAUGUUUCAGGAAAUUUUAUGAUGAGAAAACAACCCAAAAAUCAGUUGAUAAGUUUUGUAAAGAAAGGAGCAGCUGCCAUUUUCAUUGCUGAAGUAGGGGCUUUUGGAGCCUGUUACUAUUUUUACCAUCGUAUGAACACAGAUAGAGAUUUCAGAUAUUAUAUGAAGAAUAAUUACAACUUCGCACUUGAAUCUUUUUACACACUUGGAGAGUAUAUGAACAAGACUGACCAGACACGCAAGAUCGACGAAGUCAUCUGGAAUAGACAGUACCCUAUCAUUUUGGAGAAGCAAGAAGAAUUGU
RNAcentral lists this long non-coding RNA (458 nucleotides) under Penaeus japonicus. RNAcentral describes it as "uncharacterized LOC122261526". Lineage: Eukaryota; Metazoa; Arthropoda; Malacostraca; Decapoda; Penaeidae. The record is from RNAcentral.